GUCUUUAUAGUUUAUAAAAACCUUAGUCUUGUAAACUAAAAUAGGAACUCCUGAAGACUC
RNAcentral lists this transfer RNA (60 nucleotides) under Gammarus fossarum. Its description in RNAcentral is "tRNA-Thr". Lineage: Eukaryota; Metazoa; Arthropoda; Malacostraca; Amphipoda; Gammaridae. The record is from RNAcentral.